RNAcentral lists this ribosomal RNA (1370 nucleotides) under Promicromonospora sp. FMA_73. Its description in RNAcentral is "bacterial SSU rRNA". It matches the Rfam family "Bacterial small subunit ribosomal RNA". Lineage: Bacteria; Bacillati; Actinomycetota; Actinomycetes; Micrococcales; Promicromonosporaceae. The record is from RNAcentral.
GUCGACGGUGAAGCUCCUGCUUGCAGGGGUGGAUCAGUGGCGAACGGGUGAGUAACACGUGAGCAACCUGCCCCCUACUUCGGGAUAAGCCUUGGAAACGGGGUCUAAUACCGGAUAUGAACACUUGUCGCAUGGUGGGUGUUGGAAAGUUUUUCGGUGGGGGAUGGGCUCGCGGCCUAUCAGCUUGUUGGUGGGGUAAUGGCCUACCAAGGCGUCGACGGGUAGCCGGCCUGAGAGGGCGACCGGCCACACUGGGACUGAGACACGGCCCAGACUCCUACGGGAGGCAGCAGUGGGGAAUAUUGCACAAUGGGCGAAAGCCUGAUGCAGCGACGCCACGUGAGGGAUGACGGCCUUCGGGUUGUAAACCUCUUUCAGCAGGGAAGAAGCGCAAGUGACGGUACCUGCAGAAGAAGCGCCGGCUAACUACGUGCCAGCAGCCGCGGUAAUACGUAGGGCGCAAGCGUUGUCCGGAAUUAUUGGGCGUAAAGAGCUCGUAGGCGGUCUGUCGCGUCUGGUGUGAAAUCCCAUGGCUCAACUGUGGGCUUGCAUCGGGUACGGGCAGACUAGAGUGCUGUAGGGGAGACUGGAAUUCCUGGUGUAGCGGUGGAAUGCGCAGAUAUCAGGAGGAACACCGAUGGCGAAGGCAGGUCUCUGGGCAGUUACUGACGCUGAGGAGCGAAAGCAUGGGGAGCGAACAGGAUUAGAUACCCUGGUAGUCCAUGCCGUAAACGUUGGGCACUAGGUGUGGGGCCAGUUCCACUGGUUCUGUGCCGCAGCUAACGCAUUAAGUGCCCCGCCUGGGGAGUACGGCCGCAAGGCUAAAACUCAAAGGAAUUGACGGGGGCCCGCACAAGCGGCGGAGCAUGCGGAUUAAUUCGAUGCAACGCGAAGAACCUUACCAAGGCUUGACAUGUACGAGAAAGCCCCAGAGAUGGGGUUCUCUUUGGACACUCGUACACAGGUGGUGCAUGGUUGUCGUCAGCUCGUGUCGUGAGAUGUUGGGUUAAGUCCCGCAACGAGCGCAACCCUUAUCCUAUGUUGCCAGCGGGUUAUGCCGGGGACUCAUGGGAGACUGCCGGGGUCAACUCGGAGGAAGGUGGGGAUGACGUCAAAUCAUCAUGCCCCUUAUGUCUUGGGCUUCACGCAUGCUACAAUGGCCGGUACAGAGGGCUGCGAUACCGUGAGGUGGAGCGAAUCCCAAAAAGCCGGUCUCAGUUCGGAUCGGGGUCUGCAACUCGACCCCGUGAAGUCGGAGUCGCUAGUAAUCGCAGAUCAGCAACGCUGCGGUGAAUACGUUCCCGGGCCUUGUACACACCGCCCGUCAAGUCACGAAAGUUGGUAACACCCGAAGCUCACGGCCCAACCCC